Molecule: non-coding RNA, 83 nt
Organism: Mycena crocata
Lineage: Eukaryota; Fungi; Basidiomycota; Agaricomycetes; Agaricales; Mycenaceae
Source: the annotation of a GenBank genome assembly
ACACCAAUGGUGAAGCGGUUAUCAUGCUUGCCUUCCAUGAAUACAAUAAGCAAGCGGCAGGGGUUCGACUCCCCUUUGGUGUA